RNAcentral lists this ribosomal RNA (270 nucleotides) under uncultured bacterium. RNAcentral's name for it is "partial 16S ribosomal RNA". It matches the Rfam family "Bacterial small subunit ribosomal RNA", at positions 1231 to 1500 of the family's 1533-position model. The record is from RNAcentral.
UGGCGUAAACAAAGGGAAGCGAACACGUGAGUGCAAGCGAAUCCCAAAAAUAACGUCUCAGUUCGGAUUGUAGUCUGCAACUCGACUACAUGAAGCUGGAAUCGCUAGUAAUCGCGGAUCAGAAUGCCGCGGUGAAUACGUUCCCGGGUCUUGUACACACCGCCCGUCACACCAUGGGAGUCAGUAACGCCCGAAGCCGGUGACCUAACCGAAAGGGAGGAGCCGUCGAAGGUGGGACCGAUAACUGGGGUGAAGUCGUAACAAGGUAAC